AGAGGUAGAUAUUAUCUAAAGGAUAGACGAAGUAGUUUUAUUCUAAUCUUUUUUGUUUUCACACUUUAAUACCCGAACCCAUAGGUUUUUAUGAUUAUGAUGUUUGAUUUAUAGAUUUUGAUUUAUGAUGAUAUUAUUUUAUUUGUAGAAUUAGAAAACGCUUAUGGGGGAUUAGCUCAGUUGGCUAGAGCGCUUGCCUUGCACGCAAGAGGUCAUCGGUUCGAUUCCGAUAUUCUCCACACAAUACAAUUAAGUAUUAAAGUUCUUUGACAUAUUGAAAAGUAGAAAAAAACAAUGUAUAAAACAACGAUAUAUUUCGUUGAGAUUUAAAUAUAUAUUAUUUCUAGAGAUAGGAAUAACUUAUGAUAGAUCAUUAGCAAA
RNAcentral lists this transfer RNA (381 nucleotides) under uncultured Marinilabiliaceae bacterium. Its description in RNAcentral is "16S-23S ribosomal RNA intergenic spacer". The stretch from base 166 to 239 matches the Rfam family "tRNA". Lineage: Bacteria; Pseudomonadati; Bacteroidota; Bacteroidia; Marinilabiliales; Marinilabiliaceae. The record is from RNAcentral.